RNAcentral lists this ribosomal RNA (253 nucleotides) under uncultured bacterium. Its description in RNAcentral is "partial 16S ribosomal RNA". It matches the Rfam family "Bacterial small subunit ribosomal RNA", at positions 524 to 776 of the family's 1533-position model. The record is from RNAcentral.
UACGGAGGGGGCUAGCGUUGUUCGGAAUUACUGGGCGUAAAGCGCGUGUAGGCGGCUUUGCAAGUCGGGUGUGAAAGCCCUCAGCUUAACUGAGGAAGUGCGCCCGAAACUGCAGCGCUUGAGUACCGGAGAGGAUGGCGGAAUUCCCCAAGUAGAGGUGAAAUUCGUAGAUAUGGGGAGGAACACCGGUGGCGAAGGCGGCCAUCUGGACGGAUACUGACGCUGAGACGCGAAAGCGUGGGUAGCAAACAGG